CUUGUACACACCGCCCGUCACACCACGGGAGUUGGAGACGCCCGAAGCCGAUUAUCUAACCUUUUGGAAGAAGUCGUCGAAGGUGGAAUCAAUAACUGGGGUGAAGUCGUAACAAGGUAGCCGUAUCGGAAGGUGCGGCUGGAUCACCUCCUUUCUAAGGAGA
This 163-nucleotide ribosomal RNA is filed under the name Clostridioides difficile. RNAcentral describes it as "partial 16S ribosomal RNA". It matches the Rfam family "Bacterial small subunit ribosomal RNA", at positions 1380 to 1533 of the family's 1533-position model. Lineage: Bacteria; Bacillati; Bacillota; Clostridia; Peptostreptococcales; Peptostreptococcaceae. The record is from RNAcentral.